RNAcentral lists this ribosomal RNA (232 nucleotides) under uncultured bacterium. RNAcentral's name for it is "partial 16S ribosomal RNA". It matches the Rfam family "Bacterial small subunit ribosomal RNA", at positions 103 to 339 of the family's 1533-position model. The record is from RNAcentral.
CGGGUGAGUAACGCGUAGGAAUCUGCCUUAUAGUGGGGGACAACGUGGGGAAACCCACGCUAAUACCGCAUACGCCCUACGGGGGAAAGCGGGGGCCUUCGGGCCUCGUGCUAUUGGAUGAGCCUGCGUCGGAUUAGCUAGUUGGUAGGGUAAAGGCCUACCAAGGCGACGAUCCGUAGCUGGUCUGAGAGGAUGAUCAGCCACACUGGGACUGAGACACGGCCCAGACUCC